AGUCGUCGGGCACCACUAAACCCGAAGGCGCAUUGAACGAAAAGGCAGGUCCUCCGCGGCCGGCCGAGGGAUGAUGGGAGCCCCCUCGCGGGGCUCCUCGCAAUCCCGGGGCGUCUCGUCCUACGCGCGCUCGUCGCGUGAAGGUGAGGCGCACCAUGAGCGUGCGCGUUGGUACCCGAAAGAUGGUGAACUAUGCCUGGCCAGGACGAAGUCAGGGGAAACCCUGAUGGAGGUCCGUAGCGAUUCUGACGUGCAAAUCGAUCGUCAGAGCUGGGUAUAGGGGCGAAAGACUAAUCGAACCAUCUAGUAGCUGGUUCCCUCCGAAGUUUCCCUCAGGAUAGCUGGCACUCGGAGAUUGGAAUCCCAUCCGGUAAAGCGAAUGAUUAGAGGCCGUGGGAUCGAAACGAUUUCAACCUAUUCUCAAACUUUAAAUGGGUGGGAUCCGCGGCUUGCUUGAAAGUGAAGCCGCGGACCCGGAUCAGAGUGCCCAGUGGGCCACUUUUGGUAAGCAGAACUGGCGCUGUGGGAUGAA
RNAcentral lists this ribosomal RNA (532 nucleotides) under Ephemera danica. RNAcentral's name for it is "eukaryotic LSU rRNA". It matches the Rfam family "Eukaryotic large subunit ribosomal RNA", at positions 689 to 1167 of the family's 3401-position model. Lineage: Eukaryota; Metazoa; Arthropoda; Insecta; Ephemeroptera; Ephemeridae. The record is from RNAcentral.